This 258-nucleotide unclassified non-coding RNA is filed under the name Hevea brasiliensis (rubber tree). Lineage: Eukaryota; Viridiplantae; Streptophyta; Magnoliopsida; Malpighiales; Euphorbiaceae. The record is from RNAcentral.
UGAAGCUCAACAUAUUGGCUCCUGCAAUUAGACCAUAAAUGCAGGAAGGCGAAUGCUAAACCAAAGCUCAGACCGCUACUGCGCCACUCUCAGAGCCCUCAAUGCUGCUGGAGGCAGCAAACCAUUGAAAUGUCUUGCCCAUGUUUUCUCACUUGCCCAUUCAGCAAUUUGUUUUUCAAACUGUUCUGCUGUUGCAAUUAUUUGACCAGCCGUUUUAUUUGUACCACCUAAUCAAAUUUUUGACGUUAAACCAGUAUA